Molecule: long non-coding RNA, 1404 nt
Organism: Musca domestica (house fly)
Lineage: Eukaryota; Metazoa; Arthropoda; Insecta; Diptera; Muscidae
Exons: 4
Source: RefSeq, a predicted model, not a curated record
UGCUACAACGCGUUCCCGUACUCCAAAAGCAAGCAAAACUUGCAGCUCUCUCGAAAAAAAAAUGGCGCUGAGUGGUGCACAUUUCUGCUUGUUUUAGCUACAUGAAUUUGGCCGAGCAGAAAUGUGCAUAUUGUAAAUUUGAAAUAUAUUUGGCAGGGCUAGCAAGGUUGAAAAAUGUAUUGAUACAUUUCAAUGUUCGCGCGUCACAACAAAUGUAAAGAAAAAAGAUCAACUUAAAAACUAAAGGUAAAACUAAUAUUUGUCGUGCAAAAAACAAAAAGAGAAAAUAUGGAGCAACUGAUGUAUUCACUUUUGGAUGAUUCCAGCAGUGAAGAGGACUGGCUGAAUGAGGAAUCAGACGAAGAAAACGUAUUGGAAAACAUUGCAAAAUAUGUAAAAGGUAAACGUCACUCGAUACUCGGCCAUAGUGUGAAUGUAAUAUCCAGCUACACCGACGAAGAAUUUAAAAUGCACUAUCGUAUUUCGCGAAGUCUUUUUAAAAUUUUGAGCGAUAAGUUUAGCGAAAGACAGCAGUACAAACAUCUACGCUCAGACAAACGACUUUAAAGCGAUGAACAUUUGUAUGUAUUUUUGUUGUUUGCGGGUCAUGAAGCCUGUAGCUAUAGAGAUCUUUCCGAUAGAUUUAAUGUAACCAUAUCUUCUGUAAGUCGUAUUAUAAAGCAAGUGACUUACUUUUUAAGUACACUAAGUUCACAGGUGAUAAAGUGGCCUUCAGCAGAAGAACGACAAGUUUCGAGUGAAUACUUUGAACUGAAAUACUAUUAGUUGUAUUGAUGGGACCCAUGUUAUAAUUGAUCCGCCAAAGGAUGGACGAAAUGAUUAUGUCGACCGCAAAGGACAUUUUUCAUUAAAAGUCCAAGGAGCGUGCAAUGAAAAACGAAAUUUUAUUAAUGUGUUUAUCGGAUACCCAGGGUCGGCACAUGAUAGUUGGGUUUACCAAAAUUCGCCAUUAUCUCAAAAUUUAGAUAGCAAAUGUGGAGCAUAUCCAUGUAACAGGUAUCUUGUCACACCCUACCAAAGGUAAACCAAAGAUUUCGGCAGCUGUACUAUUGCAAGCUUCGAGGUGUGAAAAGCUCUGCCAUUUUAUAAGGGCGUGUUGCGUUCCGCACAACCUAGCAAAUGAGAACGAUUUCGAUUUUGAUGAAAAUAGUGAAGAAGAACCUGAAGUAGAUGCAUCUUCAGAUCAUCAAGACAUGUCAGCCAACAGUGCAAGCCGAGAUAUUUUGUGCCUUUGAAAUUCGAGAAAACAUAACAGGUGUGUAUUACGAACAAGUUAAAAAGUAUCCAUCGGUUUGCCGACAGAUUGAUACUCCCGCCUUUAUCCGUUUAUUAAAAUAUCUUUCGACAUGCUUUAUUCAAAAUUUCGAACCUUUGAGGGAAGCU